Molecule: long non-coding RNA, 480 nt
Filed under: Dasypus novemcinctus (nine-banded armadillo)
Lineage: Eukaryota; Metazoa; Chordata; Mammalia; Cingulata; Dasypodidae
Description: lncRNA (ENSDNOG00000052335.1)
Source: RNAcentral
GCGGCCCCGCCGGCCCGGCGCCUACCCGCGCCCUGGUCCGCGCGCCGCCCUGCCGCCUGCUCCUCGUUCUUCUCCUGCUGCCUCCUCUCGUCUCCUCGUCCCGGCCCCGCGUUUGGGGGACUGCUGCAGCCAGCGCUCCGCAUUGGAAUGAAACUGCAGAAAAAAAUUUGGGAGUCCUGGCAGAUGAAGACAAUACAUUGCAACAGAAUAGCAGCAGUAAUAUCAGUUACAGCAGUGCAAUGCAGAAAGAAAUCACACUGCCUUCAAGACUCAUAUAUUACAUUAACCAAGACUCGGAAAGUCCCUACCAUAUUCUUGACACAAAGACCAGACACCAGCAGAAACAUAACAAGGCCGUCCAUCUGGCUCAGGCAAGCUUCCAGAUUGAAGCCUUUGGCUCCAAAUUCAUUCUUGACCUCACACUGAACAAGUAAGUAUUUGGUCAUAAUCUUGUUAAGGAACAAGUACAAUAAAACUUCA